RNAcentral lists this transfer RNA (76 nucleotides) under Reichenbachiella agariperforans. Its description in RNAcentral is "tRNA_Lys_TTT". It matches the Rfam family "tRNA". From Rfam's summary of the family: Transfer RNA (tRNA) molecules are approximately 80 nucleotides in length. The record is from RNAcentral. Lineage: Bacteria; Pseudomonadati; Bacteroidota; Cytophagia; Cytophagales; Reichenbachiellaceae. RNAcentral also lists the same sequence under 1 other name.
GAUUGGUUAGCUCAGUUGGUAGAGCAACGCCCUUUUAAGGCGUGGGUCCUGGGUUCGAGCCCCAGACCAAUCACUA